This 403-nucleotide unclassified non-coding RNA is filed under the name soil metagenome. RNAcentral describes it as "partial contains 5.8S ribosomal RNA, internal transcribed spacer 2, and large subunit ribosomal RNA". The stretch from base 1 to 121 matches the Rfam family "5.8S ribosomal RNA", at positions 35 to 154 of the family's 154-position model. The record is from RNAcentral.
GAUGAAGAACGCAGCGAAAUGCGAUAAGUAAUGUGAAUUGCAGAAUUCAGUGAAUCAUCGAAUCUUUGAACGCACCUUGCGCCCUUUGGCUAUUCCGAAGGGCAUGCCUGUUUGAGUAUCGUGAACACCUCAACUCUCAUGGUUUGCCAUGAUGAGCUUGGACUUUGGGGGUUUUGCUGGCCUUUGGUCGGCUCCUCUCAAACGGAUCAGCUUUCCAGUGUUUGGUGGCGUCACGGGUGUGAUAACUAUCUACGCCUGUGGUUUUUCCACCAGGUAACCUUCAGCAGUGGAGGUUCGCUGGAGCUCAUAGAUGUCUCUCCUCGGUGAGGACAGCCCUUUGAACGUUUGAUCUCAAAUCAGGUAGGACUACCCGCUGAACUUAAGCAUAUCAAUAAGCGGAGGA